Molecule: ribosomal RNA, 406 nt
Filed under: uncultured bacterium
Lineage: Bacteria
Description: partial 16S ribosomal RNA
Rfam family: Bacterial small subunit ribosomal RNA
Source: RNAcentral
AUUGAACGCUGGCGGCAGGCCUAACACAUGCAAGUCGAGCGAGCGGCGCACGGGUGAGUAAUGUCUGGGAAUCUGCCUGAUGGAGGGGGAUAACUACUGGACACGGUAUCUAAUACCGCAUACUAUCAGAUGCGCCCAGAUGGGAUUAGCGAGUAGGUGGGGUAAUGGCUCACCUAGGCGACGAUCCCUAGCUGGUCUGAGAGGAUGACCAGCCACACUGGAACUGAGACACGGUCCAGACUCCUACGGGAGGCAGUAGUGGGGAAUAUUGCACAAUGGGCGCAAGCCUGAUACAGCCAUGCCGCGUGUAUGAAGAAGGCCUUCGGGUUGUAAAGUACUUUCAGCGGGGAGGCGUUACCCGCAGAAGAAGCACCGGCUAACUCCGUGCCAGCAGCCGCGGUAAUAC